This is an RNA transcript of Eucalyptus grandis, 2833 nucleotides long. It is a transcript of the gene named ATP-dependent DNA helicase Q-like 1, with no coding region annotated. The record is from RefSeq and is a predicted model, not a curated record. The transcript has 6 exons. NCBI's taxonomy places the organism in Eukaryota, Viridiplantae, Streptophyta, Magnoliopsida, Myrtales, Myrtaceae.
AUUCCUCUACAACAUAUUUACAGUAAAAUGGGCAGGAAAUCUACAUGCUAUCUUCCUAACUAAAGCAGUACUCUGAGUGAUUCUUCCAUUCAACUUCUGGCCAAACGAUCUUUAGAAUCCAUGGUAUGCUUUGACCAUGGACAUAGCCAAUACAUGCCAAACCACUUAAAUCACUGUGUCACUGUUAUGUUCUUAUAUAAUUUAUUCUCUGCUUGAUCAUUUGCAAUUUGCUUGCGAUUUUGCACACAGCAAAGGACCUACAUGAUGUACAUGUACAAAAGCAUUUAAUAAAUUGCUUAUGGGGCCUCUCAUCCAAUCAAAUGUCCAAUAGACGGUCAUAACUUUUGCCAAUUACUUCCACAAUCUUCAAGAUCCAAAAUGACCUAUUGGAACUCUUUGGUCAAUAAAGAAGUUGACUUUAGUUUUGGAUGAUGUACAAGUACCUAUUUUCUCAAAAUACUUUGAGAGUAUAGCAGAUCAUCAAAUUGUGAAACUUAGCGAUCCAGCAUCUUUGAUAGGAAUGUUUCGCAUAAACGAAGGCUUGUAAUUUCUUUGUGCACAUUUUUCAUUUUCCAUAACAAUCCACGUCAGAAACUAUUAUGGUGCUGAAGAGGCUUAUUUCUGUUGAAGGACUGUAAGAGCACUGUCACUCAAGGUUUAAUAUCAGUUUCAAAUAAAAAUGGCAAAGGUUGUCAUAUUCGGAAACAAUGCAUUUCAACCAAUGCGGCAUCAGGCAUGUAAAGCUUCUAUGGCCAAGUAGGAUUGCUUCAUUCUCAUGCCCAUUGGAGGUGGCAAAAGUUUGUGUUACCAGCUUAGUGAAUGUUAACAUUAUUUCAUUUGUGUAAUGAUUGAAUGUAGAAGUAUGUGUGGAGACAAUGUUUAGACCACAAGCCCUGUGCACUUUGCUCAAUGGUUCCACUGAUGAAAUACUAGACAGGUAGGCCUGUGUAUUGAAAUUUAAGCAUUAAAAUGAUCUUGGAAUCUGCUUUGCUAGAACUGUUGCGAAGUUUGUGCUUAAACUUAAGGAUGAAAAUGUUUUCCAAAUGCAAAUUAAGCUAUAGGAAGUGAUUCAGGUAUAGAACCAUGGGUUCCAAUGUACAGGAUCUGACUAAGUUGGAAAAGAAUAUUAUACUGGACAUUCUUGUUCUGCCUUCGCAUAUUUCAAUCUAUUCUGUGAUUUCUAGAAUUUGAGGUUGUCGUUAGUCAUAGUUCAGGUCCAAUUCAAAAGGGUUAUUAAGUCAGAGGAAUAAGGUUUCCAAUUACUUGCACCAAAUUCAGAUUGUAGAUGUCUAUAUUUUAUUGCUGGUAUGUGCUAGGUCAUCAUCUCAACUGGGGUGAUCAUGUAAGAUGGAUAUUGGUUGCAUGCAAAAUAUUUGAUCUACUGAAUCACGAAGGAAGAUAUUAAUCUGAGUUUAUUAAGUUGAGUUUUAUUGAAGUAUUUUCUGUUGAGUCUUGAAGUAGUUGAUAUAUGUUUCUAGCUGAAGUAAAUAGAAGACAAAUAGUGACAACUGGUGCUUUCUGAUCAGCUGAAGGUGAAUAAAAAGAUAACUCCCUCAUCCCAUCCUUUCUUCAUGUGCUCUUCUGAUGUUUUUACCCUUCAUUUCAGCUACCAGCAACUCUUAACCAGGUGUCACAGUCGUUAUAUGUCCCCUGCUAUCUAUCAUCCAGGACCAAAUUAUUACUCUAGCCCUCCAUAUGUUGCAAUGGAUGCACAUUUUUUAUGUAGUUAAUGAAAAAAUUCAUUCCUAAGAUGCCUUAAAAAUAAAUUUUAAAAUCUUAGUGUUCCUAGAGAAGUAUAUCAUACCAUACAAUCAUCAUUUUGCCAUAAAAUGUUGGGCUAUAAUUGUUGCUGUGAGGUUUCUAUUAGAUUUCUAAGACUUUUUUUUGCUGAUUGUUGUGAUUAUCAAGUCAUUAAUCUCCACUGCUUUGCCUGCCUUUUCAGGAAAGUUAAUCCAUCGUGCAAGCUAUUGUAUGUAACUCCUGAAAGGAUUGUGGGAAACCCAUCAUUUAUUGAGAUAUUGAAAUGCUUGCAUAGAAAGUCCAUGAGGACGUGAAUUUUGUCCAAAUUAUAGAGGAUUGGAAUGUCUCAGGAAAAACUUUUCAUACGUCCCAGUGAUGGCCUUAACUGUCACUGCCACUUGUUCAUGAGCAUUUUGUCAUCUACAACACAAUGUCAAAGUCAAUCGAAAGCUAUUACCAGGAAUCAGGGAGGGCAGGAGGAGAUCUACUAGCAAUUUUUCCACUCAACUUUUGGCCAGAUGAUCUUUAGAAUCCAUGGCACAGCUAGCUGGUUUUGUUAUUGAUGAGGCACAUUAGUGAGUCUAUGGGGACAGGAAUUUCGUCCAGAUUACAGACUGGUAUGUCUCGAGCCUAACUUUGCACGUGACCCAAUGAUGGCCUUAGCUGAAACUACCACUCCCUCAGUUCAUGAGGAUAUCCUAAAAUCUCUUGGGAUUCUCCAUGCUCUUGUUCUUGAGACAAGCUUCGACAGACUAAAUCUUAAAUAUGAGGUCAUAGCUAAGACCAAGGAACCACUGAAGCAGCUUGGAUAGCUGCUAAAGAAACGUUUUGCUAAUUUUUGUGGCAUAGUAUAUUGCCUUUCAAAGAGUGAAUGCGUUGAUGUCGCAAAAUACUUGAAUAAGAAGUUAUGUAUAAAGACAGUGUACUAUCAUGUUGGAUUAGUAGCUCGCCAAAAGGGUAGCUGUUCAAAAGAAAUGGUAAACUGAAGAGGUCCAAAUUGUAUGUUAUAGAAAGAAAUGGCAUACUAUCAUUCUCGUGUUAUUGACUAGCUAUAUUAUAAAUUAUAUAAUCAAUACAUUGACUUUACUAGCAA